GUUGGCUGCGGUGGGGGGGGGGGGGGGGGGGAGGAGAGAAGAUUCACUAUCUCAACCCGAUCGACUGCAGGCGCGAUCCUCCAGCCAGCCCCUCCCCAUUAGCCCCAGAAUGCCCGUGACAAAGCCGAUCUAUUUAUGAAUGGAUCUCCGCCUUCUACCCUACUCUGAAAUGGAAAACGGAGGGCGGAUUCCAAAUUAUUGCGGGCCGCGCAGUGACAUUUCUUGCAUAAUAAGUGUCCUUGUCCUCUCCCCCCCGCCCCUUCUCCCGGGAUCUCUCUGGCUGGCGGCUCGAAGAGCUUUCUCUGCCCCUUAAUGGUUGUUUUUGUGGGUUAAAAACAAGAUGUAAAGCGAGGCGAGGGGGUGCAAGCGGAGAAAAAGCACGGGGCUCCAAACCUCCCGCGUGCAAUUCUGUGUAUGCGGCAGAAGGGACCACAUGGCAAAUGUGACAGAACUGAAGAAGCAAGUUGUUUUGCCUCGGCCUAAAAAAGCCUGUGUGGAGAGAAGGAGAAAAAUGCAUUGGGCCCUUGGCACUUGGCA
Molecule: long non-coding RNA, 537 nt
Organism: Thamnophis elegans (Western terrestrial garter snake)
Lineage: Eukaryota; Metazoa; Chordata; Lepidosauria; Squamata; Natricidae
Exons: 2
Source: RefSeq, a predicted model, not a curated record